Molecule: unclassified non-coding RNA, 742 nt
Filed under: Hevea brasiliensis (rubber tree)
Lineage: Eukaryota; Viridiplantae; Streptophyta; Magnoliopsida; Malpighiales; Euphorbiaceae
Source: RNAcentral
AUUAACCGAAUGCCUUCUUCUGUGUUGCAGCAUCAAAGUCCUCACUCAGUUCUUUUUCCAGAUCAAGAUCCCUGACCUCUACCAUUGCGUGUGUUUGGCUGUACUUGUUUUGUUCAUACUCACACCCUUGGGAAAGACAAACUACAACCUAAAUAUGUUAAAUGUGUCUUUCUAUGAUACUCUUAUGUUCAAAAAGGUUACAAAUGUUAUGAUCCAACAAUAAACAAAUAUUUUAUCUUAGCAGAUGUAACCUUCUUUGAAAUAUCCCCAUAUUUUUCAUCAAACACUACAACAAAAAGACUCAUUUCUGAUGUUUUACCUAUUCCAUUUCUUUCUUCAUCACAAAUCCAUAUUCAUAGUCCUCCUCUCCAAGUCUAAUUCCGUCGUCCUCAUCCUCCUACUAACACCAAUGAUACUUCUCUUCAUGAUACAGGUACACUGGUUGCUCCUGAUGACUCAUCGCCUAUUCCUCCAUCACCUAAUCCAAUGAUGCCUUUAACAGGUGUAGCAUCUCCUCCCUUUGCCCUUUGCAAAGGUAUUCAUUCCUCUCGCAACCCUCAUCCCAUUUAUAAUUCUCUCAGUUAUCAUCGUUUAUCGCCAUCCUAUUAUACUUUUGUUUCUAUCUUAUCUUCUGUUUUCAUACCUAAGACUGUUAGAGAAGCAUUAGAACAUGCAGGGUGGCGAGAUGCCAUGGUACAGGAAAUGAUUGCUCUUCAUAAUAAUGGUACUUGGGAGUUAGUUU